UUGACCUCGGAUCAGGUAGGGAUACCCGCUGAACUUAAGCAUAUCAAUAAGCCG
This 54-nucleotide ribosomal RNA is filed under the name Ampelomyces sp. 263. RNAcentral describes it as "partial 26S ribosomal RNA". RNAcentral also lists the same sequence under 2 other names. Lineage: Eukaryota; Fungi; Ascomycota; Dothideomycetes; Pleosporales; Phaeosphaeriaceae. The record is from RNAcentral.